Molecule: ribosomal RNA, 510 nt
Filed under: uncultured bacterium
Lineage: Bacteria
Description: partial 16S ribosomal RNA
Rfam family: Bacterial small subunit ribosomal RNA
Source: RNAcentral
GACGAACGCUGGCGGCGUGCUUAACACAUGCAAGUCGAACGAAGAGCGAUGGAAGCUUGCUUCUAUCAAUCUUAGUGGCGAACGGGUGAGUAACGCGUAAUCAACCUGCCCUUCAGAGGGGGACAACAGUUGGAAACGACUGCUAAUACCGCAUACGAUCUAAUCUCGGCAUCGAGGAUAGAUGAAAGGUGGCCGCUACAUGUAAGCUAUCACUGAAGGAGGGGAUUGCGUCUGAUUAGCUAGUUGGAGGGGUAACGGCCCACCAAGGCGAUGAUCAGUAGCCGGUCUGAGAGGAUGAACGGCCACAUUGGGACUGGGACACGGCCCAGACUCCUACGGGAGGCAGCAGUGGGGAAUCUUCCGCAAUGGACGAAAGUCUGACGGAGCAACGCCGCGUGAGUGAUGACGGCCUUCGGGUUGUAAAGCUCUGUUAAUCGGGACGAAAGGCCUUCUUGCGAAUAGUGAGAAGGAUUGACGGUACCGGAAGAGAAAGCCACGGCUAACUACGUG